Molecule: regulatory RNA element, 101 nt
Organism: Lachnoclostridium sp. An14
Lineage: Bacteria; Bacillati; Bacillota; Clostridia; Lachnospirales; Lachnospiraceae
Rfam family: Glycine riboswitch aptamer
About the family: This family represents the bacterial glycine riboswitch. Glycine riboswitches usually consist of two metabolite-binding aptamers domains with similar structures in tandem. The aptamers cooperatively bind glycine to regulate the expression of downstream genes.
Source: Rfam
GGCAACCUCUCUGGAGAGUCUCCGUGUGAGCGCCGAAGGUGUAAGGCAGGAAGGAAAAAGAACCUGCUGUAUCUCUCAGGCAAAAGGACAGGGCAGUGUAA